This 960-nucleotide long non-coding RNA is filed under the name Glycine max (soybean). RNAcentral's name for it is "long non-coding RNA (GMAX_LNC003890)". Lineage: Eukaryota; Viridiplantae; Streptophyta; Magnoliopsida; Fabales; Fabaceae. The record is from RNAcentral.
AAAAAAUAAAUUAUAAUAAAUCUCAUAAAACAUAAAAGAAUAGUAUAACUCUAAAUGAAAUUUCAAUUUAAAGAAAACAAGUCAAUUUGGUACUCAUAUUCUUGAUAAUCUACAUUUUUUUCUAUUUCUUUUUUUAUUCCUUCAUUAUGGACGUACAAAUUUUCUACACAUUUAUUUUAUUUUAUUUUUUGCUUUAUUUCAUUCAUUCUUCUUGUACCACUCCUGACAAUUUUAUUGCGCAUUUCUCUUCUAUUUUCCAUUUCUUUAUUGAUGGUUAAAAGGAAAUAGAUACUUUUUUUUUACUAGAGAUAACAUGCUUGGCUAACCGUUCAAAAAAUAUUUCCAGGAGGAACUGAACGUAUUUUUGAAAAGUAAAUUUUUUUAAAAUAAUUUUUUUUUAUAUGCAUUCCUCUUCUGCAGUGGAGGAUUACAUAGGCGCAGUGAAGAAAUCGUUACCACCCGGCAUGCCUAGAGCUUGAUGAAGUUCAAGUGGACAAAAUUUAAUUGAGUUUGCUGAGAACAGAUAGAUACCUAUCUCAUAAUAGAUUUGAAUUUCUAGUAUCUGUCAUGAGAUAGAUCUGAGUCAUGAUAAAUUUGAAGUCCUGAUUGACUCUUUGCAGUCGAGUUUUGUAACUGAACGGUUAUUUGUAUAAAGAUUAUAAUAGUCCCUUUAAAUAAGAACCCCCAUCUACGUUUUACUCUCAUAAAUGUCAGGUUUUAUCAAAUUUUCAACACAUUCAAACACACAUUAUUUUGUACACGAGCAACAAGUAUAUGCACAUAUCACUUAAUUUCAUUGAAACAUAUACUUACUUUAUCUCCUAAUGUUUGGUUUUGCAAGUUUUCCUCUUGUUUUCUCCUAACAAAGAUACAUCUCAAAGUGAACAUGUGCAGUUGUUACAACCAGUUCGAACAGAAGCAACACGAAGAAAUUAAGCGUGUGAGAGAUAGAGAGAGAUG